GACGAACGCUGGCGGCGUGCCUAACACAUGCAAGUUGAGCGACGAACCAGGGCUUGCCCUGGGGCAAAGCAGCGAACGGGUGAGUAACACGUGUGUAACCUACCCCGAUAACCGGGACAACCCGAGGAAACUCGGGCUAAUACCGGAUGUGCUCACUGUACUUCGGUUCAGUGCGUAAAGGAAGCUUCGGCCUCCGUAUCGGGAGGGGCCAGCAGCCCAUUAGUUUGUUGGUGAGGUAACGGCUCACCAAGGCCGCGAUGGGUAGCUGGUCUGAAGGGACGGUCAGCCAGACGGGGAGUGAGGCAGGGCCCAGACUCUUGCGGUGAGAAACAGUGGAGAAUCUUGCGCGAGGCAGGAGUGCGUGACGUAGCAACGCCGCGUGGGGGAAGAUGGAGUUCGGGUUGGAGACUCCUUACGGGAGGAACGAAGGAUAGGCGGUGAAUAGGCGACCGGAAUGACGGUACCGGCAGAAGAAGCCCCGGCUAACUACGUG
RNAcentral lists this ribosomal RNA (493 nucleotides) under uncultured bacterium. Its description in RNAcentral is "partial 16S ribosomal RNA". It matches the Rfam family "Bacterial small subunit ribosomal RNA", at positions 28 to 507 of the family's 1533-position model. The record is from RNAcentral.